This 339-nucleotide unclassified non-coding RNA is filed under the name soil metagenome. RNAcentral describes it as "partial contains 5.8S ribosomal RNA, internal transcribed spacer 2, and large subunit ribosomal RNA". The stretch from base 1 to 120 matches the Rfam family "5.8S ribosomal RNA", at positions 35 to 154 of the family's 154-position model. The record is from RNAcentral.
GAUGAAGAACGUAGCGAAAUGCGAUAAGUAGUGUGAAUUGCAGACUUUAGUGAAUCAUCGAAUCUUUGAACGCACAUUGCGCCCCUUGGUAUUCCAUUGGGCAUGCCUGUUCGAGCGUCAUUUACACCCUCAAGCUCACGCUUGGUGUUGGGCGUCUGUCCGCGCUUUCGAGCGUGGACUCGCCCCAAAUCCAUUGGCAGCGGCUCCGCCGGCUUUUCGCGCAGCACUUUGCGUCCAGGAAGGCUUUCGGCGAGCUUGCGUACAUCAAGACACCCCUCACUUUGACCUCGAAUCAGGUAGGGAUACCCGCUGAACUUAAGCAUAUCAAUAAGCGGAGGA